Molecule: ribosomal RNA, 550 nt
Filed under: uncultured bacterium
Lineage: Bacteria
Description: bacterial SSU rRNA
Rfam family: Bacterial small subunit ribosomal RNA
Source: RNAcentral
UAGGGAAUCUUCGGCAAUGGGGGCAACCCUGACCGAGCAACGCCGCGUGAGUGAAGAAGGUUUUCGGAUCGUAAAGCUCUGUUGUAAGUCAAGAACGAGUGUGAGAGUGGAAAGUUCACACUGUGACGGUAGCUUACCAGAAAGGGACGGCUAACUACGUGCCAGCAGCCGCGGUAAUACGUAGGUCCCGAGCGUUGUCCGGAUUUAUUGGGCGUAAAGCGAGCGCAGGCGGUUUGAUAAGUCUGAAGUUAAAGGCUGUGGCUCAACCAUAGUUCGCUUUGGAAACUGUCAAACUUGAGUACAGAAGGGGAGAGUGGAAUUCCAUGUGUAGCGGUGAAAUGCGUAGAUAUAUGGAGGAACACCGGUGGCGAAAGCGGCUCUCUGGUCUGUAACUGACGCUGAGGCUCGAAAGCGUGGGGAGCGAACAGGAUUAGAUACCCUGGUAGUCCACGCCGUAAACGAUGAGUGCUAGGUGUUGGAUCCUUUCCGGGAUUCAGUGCCGCAGCUAACGCAUUAAGCACUCCGCCUGGGGAGUACGACCGCAAGGUUG